RNAcentral lists this ribosomal RNA (759 nucleotides) under Panagrolaimus sp. FL-SType-9. Its description in RNAcentral is "SSU rRNA". It matches the Rfam family "Eukaryotic small subunit ribosomal RNA", at positions 434 to 1201 of the family's 1831-position model. The record is from RNAcentral. Lineage: Eukaryota; Metazoa; Nematoda; Chromadorea; Rhabditida; Panagrolaimidae.
UCGCAAAUUACCCACUCUCAGUACGAGGAGGUAGUGACGAGAAAUGACAAGAUCUAUUCCUUCGGGGAUGGAUCAUUGGAAUGGUUUGAUUUUAAAAUCAUUAAAGAGUAUCAAUGAGAGGGCAAGUCUGGUGCCAGCAGCCGCGGUAAUUCCAGCUCUCAUACUGCAUUGAAUUGUUGUUGCGGUUAAAAAGCUCGUAGUUGGAUCUGUACAUGAUAGGUUAGUUCAUCCUUUGGAUUGCAACUAAUACUAAAUGUUUUUUAUUAGAUUUUUAUAUUUCUUUACGGAAAUAUAAUGUCUAAUGAGUUUACUUUGAAUAAAUCAGAGUGCUCAAAACAGGCGUAAGCUUGUAUGGUUUUGCAUGGAAUAAUAGAACAUGACUAUGGUUCAUGUUUUAUUGGUUUUACUUACCAUAGUAAUGAUUAAAAGGAACAAACGGGGGCAUCCGUAUCGCAGGGCGAGAGGUGAAAUUCGUGGACCCUUGCGAGACGAACUACAGCGAAGGCAUUUGCCAAGAAUGUUUUCAUUAAUCAAGAACGAAAGUCAGAGGAUCGAAGGCGAUCAGAUACCGCCCUAGUACUGACCGUAAACUAUGCCAUCUAGCGAGUUUCGGGUGGAUAUUUUAUAUUUGCCCUUGAAACGAGCUUCCCGGAAACGAAAGUCUUUCGGUUCCGGGGGAAGUAUGGUUGCAAAGUUGAAACCUAAAGGAAUUGACGGAAGGUCACCACCAGAAGUGGAGCCUGCGGCUUAAUUUGACUA